UAUGAAGCGAAGAAUGAUCGAAGUAGUCCGUACUUCCCUGUUUAAGAGAGCUAAUGGUGGUGAGAAUUAGUACAAAAGUUAUGGAUGAAUUACAAUCAGGAGCUUUUCUUUGUGAUAAGCAAAGAACGGUCAUGCCGUUAUAAUAAUGAAGUGGGAGAAAAGUUUUAUUUUUCUUCAACAAGGGUGGUAACGCGAGAAUCUCGUCCCUUUU
Molecule: non-coding RNA, 211 nt
Filed under: Halalkalibacter akibai
Lineage: Bacteria; Bacillati; Bacillota; Bacilli; Caryophanales; Bacillaceae
Description: Bacillus akibai T-box sequence
Rfam family: T-box leader
About the family: Uncharged tRNA acts as the effector for transcription antitermination of genes in the T-box leader family. T-boxes are found upstream of many aminoacyl-tRNA synthetase genes and some amino acid biosynthetic genes usually in Gram-positive bacteria.
Source: RNAcentral